GAUCAAUUUAAAAUACAGAUAUGUACGACUUGUACACGAACACACGUAUGAGCGAAGUCGUUCAUGUUUUCUGUGUCGUAUCUGACAAUUUGACAGUUCUAGCUCGAUAGUAUUAAACAUGGCCGUUCGUGCAGAGAAAUUACUGUAAUAUAACACUAUUGAGGUCUAAAGGAAGUGUUAUUGAGAGAUAUUUCAAUAAAGGACAAUUAUGUUCGAGUCUCCGAGAAGCCUUCAGGAGGUUUGUGUAGACUUUAUUUGCGACAAUGUAUUAGUAUUGUGCGAGGUCCAUCCUGGCGACAGUGGGCUUCCUGUCAGUACACUACCACCUGCUGCCAUUGAUGAGCAAAUGAGCACAGGAGAUGGUCGCACAACAGUAUCAAGUGUAUCGUCAGUCACUAAUCUCUCAUCUCUGAACUUAUCAGCUGGUUCAGCAACCAGACUAAGUUUUAAGGAUCCAGAUGCAUUUUUACCUGCUGAAAUAUCUGAUCAACUCUUAUCCAGCUUAUGCGAACGAAAAGCAUUAUCUGAUCUGACUAUUACUUUAUUCGAUUCAAAAACGACCAGAUUACGCCAUGUAAGACUAAAAGAUGCAUCGAGCCUUUCUAUAAAAGGCUUAAAAGUUUUAAGUCAACAUAAGGUUGUGGAUUUGGAAAUAGAUGGACUUAAGAUUAAUGUCAACGAUUUGAUUGGCUGCCUGGGAGAAUGGAGUUUGCAAAAUCUAAGAUCCUUAAGUGUGGCAAAGGGUAGCUUUAUGGAUUGUGCUAGGUCUUGUGUAGUCGCGGCAUUGACUAAACUUCGAGCAUUACAAACUCUCAAUGUUUCUGGAACUGAGUUUAAUAAUCAUGGUCUCGAGAUUGUUGUCGAAGACCUACAGCUCUUAGAAAAUUUAGACAUUUCUUGUACACGAGUAGACGAUAUAACACCAUUGAAAAAGUGUAAGGACCGAUUGAAGUCAUUGAAAAUGUACAAUUUAAAAGUGAGCAGUUGUGGAAACCUGAUACCCGUAUUAUUGGAGCUGAAGAAAUUGAUAAAUUUGGAUAUAUCCGACGAACGAGAUGCCUUUCCACUUGAAAUGUUUGUUCCAGUUAGAUCUAAAAUAUCGGAUCUCUUGAAAGCCAGUUUCUGUAUGCCGUAUCUAGCUAGUCUAGAUAUCUCAGGUAGAAGAAAGGAUGAAAUACACAGAAAAGAUUUGAGAACGUUUAUUAAAUAUCACCCACAUUUAAGAUUUUUAGGCCUUGUUCAUACAGAUGCUUGUUAUGAUGACACUCUUAUUAAUCCCAUUAAUAAAAGUUACAGACGAAGUCUUGUGGUGAGUGGGACCGCAUCAGAGUCACAAAUUUUAGAAUCACUGAGACGAUACUGGUGCCGCCCAAUUUAUGUGCAAAAAUGCCUUUAUAAUUUAUUCCGUUUAACGCCAAACUUUAGUGAGGCAAGAGUUGACGUUAUAAAAUUAGUUAUACCUGGAAUGAAGGCUCAUCCCCAACAGUUUGGUGUACAAAUGGCUGCAACAGCAUGUCUCUACAAUCUUACAAAAGGAGACCUAGCGAAUAAAAUCCAUCCAUCGAUAUUAAAACAAAUUGUUGAUUUAACAUUGACAGCUAUGGAAUCGUUUCCAAAUCAUUACCAACUACAGAAAAAUACAUUACUUACGCUGUGCAGUGAUAGGAUAUUGCAGGAUGUUACUUUUGACAAAUAUAGGUGUGCAAGACUUGUGAUGAAUUGUCUGUCAGCAUUUGAUGAUCCUUCAAUGAAUCGAAUGUCAGUUGCAAUAUGCUCCAUUUUGGCAGCUAAAAUUUCCACCGAUGAAACAUCAAUGCUGGGGGCACAACCGCAGUACAUGUCUAAACUAUUAGCCAUGAUCCGGUCUAAAGUUCAAACAAAAUCUGUGGACAUUACCAUGAAGUUUACGUUGAGCGCCCUUUGGAAUUUAACUGAUGAAAGUGCAACGACAUGCGCCGUAUUUCUCGAAGAAGGUGGCAUGGCUCUAUUUCUUGAAGUACUGAAAAGUUUCCAAGGAGAGUCUAGUGUCGAAACAAAGGUUUUGGGCUUGCUGAAUAACAUAGCAGAGGUACCUCAUCUCAGGCAAUGGCUAAUGCAACCUUCUUUUAUAACGAUGCUCUCGUCACUUUUGGAUUCCGAACAGAUUGAUGUAUCCUAUUUUGCGGCAGGAAUUGCUGCACAUCUGUUGAGUGAUGGACCAUGUGUAUGGGCUUCGGUACCGUCUUUACCACCUAGGUCUCAAUUAUUGGAUCAGUUAGCUAAAGCAGUGACCAAUUGGCAAACACCUCAGAGUGAAAUGGUUGCAUAUCGAAGUUUUCAGCCAUUCUUUCCUCUUUUGCGAUGCGCCGAUGCACAUCCUGUGCAAUUAUGGGCUAUAUGGGCAAUACAUCAUGUAUGCACUAAGAAUCCUAAACGGUAUUGUGGAAUGCUGUCGAGGGAAGGUGGUGGUGCCAUACUAGCAUUGCUCGCAAAGGAGAAGAGCGGUGACACUCAGCCUAUCGUGCGUACCUUGUGCCUCUCCGUGCUUGAAGCAUUGGCCACUCACUGUUGACCAUUUACAAUUUGACAAACGAGUACCAUAUACCUGGUAUACUAGUCAAUUUUAUCCCUCUGUUGAGGUGGUAUCGUUGAUGGAGAAAAAAGAGGCUGUGAAGGAGUAUGUGUGGUCUGUGCUGUGGAAGCAGCCAUCUCGGAUCAAACGAGAAAUAUUAUAUAUAGAUCAUAUGCACUUAGUGCAUUAAAGAUACGGAUUUGCAAAUGAUAUUUAAAAUCCUGUAAAUUGGCAAAUUUGGACGAAAAUUAUUUGAGCAUACUAUUGAUAUGUUGGCACAGAAUAAGUAAUGCUUGCUAAAAAUAACGUCGAGCAGCCCUGUUUCACAAAAUAAGAUGAUAAACGUUGAUUGUUUCUUAGAUUUUUAGUAUCUCUUACCUAUUUUUUAAACUCCCAAUACGGUGUGAACGGCUAGUUUUAUCACAUGUAACUCAAUUUAAAUUAUUUUCAUAAAGUUUUAACAACAUAGUUUUAUUAUUUGAUUUGUGAGUAUUAUUACCCGCUUUGACUGUAUCUUCGGUCAAUGCUAUCUGCAAGACAUUAAGAAAUUUGUUACAUGGUAGCCGGUUUUUUUUAUCGGAAAUUUACUUGCUGUGAAAUUUUAUAAAGAAAAUGUAAAUCUGAAGAAAUAUGUAAAUUUGUCUACUGGUUUUUUACAAAUCUCGACAUCUUUUGUGCUACAAUUGUAGAGCAUAUUUCGAUCUUGAGCGGUUCUUUUUUUUUUUUUUUUAGUCACUUUCAUUCGGUCACGAAGAAAUAUCUUAAUUCGAACUAAUUGCAAGGAAAACGUAGUAUUAUUACACUUACUGUUCAUACCGUUUGUAGAAAAGAUUUGUCCAAUGGUUUGGAUUUUAAAAUACCUGUUCGCAAAUAUCUAUAAUGGAUAGGAAAUUGCUGUUGUUUCUUGAAACAGAUUUGUGUGUCUGUUAAUAACAAUACUUAACUAAUAAUGACAAGUUUAUUGCAUCUUAUUGAUAGAAGAUAGCGCAAACUAGUGUUUUGCCAUUUUGAAUUUUCGAGGUAAUCCUUAUCAAGAUUUUAAGUUAGCAUCGGAAAAUUUUAAGUAGGACUUAUUCUGUUUUUUCAUGUGCAGUAUCUCAGUAUAUCUGUUAUGAACUAAUACACCAAAUCUUGUAAGUAGGAAUUUUCAUUUCGUCACUCGACGAGUCUUUUUUGAUUCGAUUUUUCUGUAUUUGUUAAAAAUAUUGUUAAUAGGCAGCUAUAAAUAGAGAUAUGCAUGUAAACGUUAAAAAUAGAUAAAUUUGGAAAUAUUCAGUAUGCAUAUCUCCUUAUUGAAGUAAAAUAAUUGUUAAAAAUAGUGUCAGCAAUAUUUAAGAUGAAAGUGAAAACAUUUGAGAAGAAAAGAUUGAUUACAAUAUCCGGAGAGUUCCGUCAGAACUUUUUGUCUUACAUGACAAAAAGUGCAAAGCACAAAUAUUUCGUUCAUUGGAAAUAUAUUGCUCUAUUACGUCUCGAUUGUCAUGUUAUAAAUUUUGUUGGCUAUUAAAUAUAGAAAAAUGUCUUUCUAUAACUCCAAAUGUACAUUAUGUGUAUAGUAUAUUCUGCCAUUAUACAUAAAAAAAAGAAAUAUUAGUUAUAUCGAAGUAUUUUACUUCAUAGUUAUCCCAAUGAAAUGGUACCUACAGUAAAUUAUAUUUAUUGUUAAACAAUUGAUUAUAUAGCUUGUUGAUUGUAUGACUAUAGAGAUAACGCUUAGUUACAUGUAGUUUUUGCAAACCAUAAAGGUAUUUUACAGAAAAAUGAGUUUAUGUCACACAAAAAUUGCCCACAAUAUCUUUCACAGAAUUGUUUUCUACUCAUCUUUGUUAGAUUUGCUUUGUCCUUUUGAAUUGAAAAUUAAAAUGACUGCCUAUUUUUAUAUCUGAUUGAUACCUAUUCAUCAAUUUUUCUGACAUAAAUAUUAUUCAAAUGAACAGGUAAUUAUUUAAUAGUGACGGUUAGUUAUUUUUACUUCAAUACGGUUUCAUGUAUUUUUCUUGUUUCAACUUCUAAUGUGUUGUUAGUUUUGUUACGCUUUAUGUGCCAGAACAACUAAUCAAUUCAAAUAUUUGGAACAAUUUACAAUACGAAUACUACCAGGUAUUUUUCAGAUUGGUAAACUGUUCAUGCAUUCAGUCCAACCGCACAGAACCAUUUUACACUAUCUAAUAUUCAAAAACCUCAAUGUGAAUCAAACUAACACAAAAUAAAUUCUGGAAUUAUUCAAAAUACUCAUAUUUCGAAUCUUCGAUAUUGCAGAUUAUUUGGAACACAUUCAGCAAGUUUUGGCAAUGUUAGACUUUCGUAAAAUAUGGAAAACAAAGGGUUGAAUCAGGUAAAUUUGAAACUCAAUUAUUUCCUGGUUUUAUAAUAAUUUGCUCAUCAGUCGUAUCACGCACACUGCCAGUAAAUACGCCUUUCAUAUGUAAUAUCAAAUAAUAAUAAAAUAAAUAACUGCUUCAUAAUUUUCUAGAAGUAUUAGGCACAGAAUUGUUCAUCUAAUUUCCGUCCAAUGCACUGCUCUUGCUAAGUUUCAAUUUCUGCAGGAAUUGAGAGCGUGUCUUAUGUUUAUACUUGUUAGACGUGUUACGUAAACUAUUAAUAAUAAAAUUAAUAAAAAUAAACAACGGUAUGUGGAUGAAAGUAUAUAAAGCACCAAACGUUUUUGAAAAUCUUAACAUAUUUAUUUAUGCUAUGUAAGUAUUACAAGGUGUUUUGGGUGUGUCAUAACAGAAGUAUUCUUAUCAUUAUCAUGAAUCAACUGCCAUAAUUUUUAUGAAAUUGGAGAAAGUAUAAUUUUUUUUGUAAGACAGUAAUAAUACGUACAAAACGAUGAAGGUAAACGUGUAAAGUCAAGAAACUGCAGCCAAUUGUCAACGUUUACGCACAAUCCUGUACUGUAUUUUUAUCAAAAAACAAAUUUGUAGUCCAAUUUCUUUUCCAUCCGCCCCAUCAUUAUACCAAGACUUGCCGUAAAAAGGUCUCAUAACUUCACAUUAAAAAUUUAUUCGCAAUUAUUGUUUGGCCAAUUGCAAUGCAAUAUGCGGGCCAUUUAAUUUAAUUAAUAAUUUUAUUUCCAUUUAAGCAAAUGAGGCACCUCCAACUAAUUUAGUAACCUUGUGAUUUCUUUGUAGGCAAUAGUUUAGUUGGUGUUGUGAUUUUGUAUGAAGAAAGUAUUGCGUACUGUAAUGGCUGCUAGUUGGUAUUCAUUUUUGAACCUUACAUUUCAAAAAAGCUCCACUUCUUUCUCGUGAGUCUAUACAUGUGUGUAUUUGCAUAUAUGUAUGUCUAUGAAUAUAGACACACACACACCAUAUAUUUUUAUCGGGUUUUUCCUAUACAAAAAUGCAAUUUCACCAUCUCUUGGUAUGAAAACUUAAUUUUGUGACCGUCACAGAGUAACUUGACUUUAGAGACAACGGUGUAUAAGAAGUUUUAAGAGAAACACCAUAAGUGAAAAAAUUUGUGGCCAAAGUGGAUAUUCGAAUUUACAAUUUCAGCUCAGUUUCUCCCUAGUAACAUCUUAUCACAUUGUAGCGAAUUGUGUUACCCAUCGGUACUUAAGCCCACUAAGGUGUUCGACGAUUCUGUGCCGAUGUUUCGACAAGCUUCGUUGGACGAUGAAAGUUUUGUGCGCAGGUAUAUUGCUACAUCUCUAAGAAAAUGCCCAAUUGUAUUAUGGCGUCAAUUGUAUCUACAAAUUAAAGGAGUAUAUUGAACUUUGUGCAACAGUUUGGCUAACUUUUUUAUUAAACAAGAUUAAACAAAUUCUAGUUAUCUUAAAUUGUCACUCUUAUCAUCCGUCCUCGAAAAAUGUUAUUACUACAUUUUUGGUUCGCAAUUUAUAGUAUACAAAGCAAAAGAAUUUCUAUCGUUUGACUAUGCAUAAAUAAAAUUCAAUUCUUUGACUGUGAAUAACAUUAUACGAGAAAAUUAAGUCUCGAAUUACGAAUUUUCUCUUUGCAUUAUUAAAUUUAAUCUGGACUGUUAGCUUUAGGAAUUUGUUAGUUUUGGCUCUGUUAUUAAUAUUCUUUUUUCAGAAGUGUUAUGUAUUAUUAUACAACCGAUAAUAUAGACGUAUCACAUCAACGUCUAUUUUAAGGUGUAUUAUCUUGUAAAUUUUUAAAAGUUGUAUUGCAUUGUACACAUAAAAUAUUAUAACAGAGCCACCGAACUAACUAGUGAAAAAAGUAACUACUAAAAACAUUUUCAAUUUUUUUUCUUCUAAAGUAAUGAAAGACUCAAUAUCGGUAUGUAAGAUUACUACUUGAAUUGUUACUUUUCAAAAUAAGAAAUUUACAUAAUAUACUUCCCUUAUCUCUAGAUGAAAGAGAAAUAUAUUUAUCAAAGGACGUUACAUGAGAAUUGCUGUUUUGUCUGUAACAUCCAGAGAAUUGUUAGCAACAAAGCCAUUCAUGGAUUAGAUGCAUGAUGAGAUUAAUUGACAACAUAGCCAUUGUGUUGAUUCUUGUCUCUAGCAUCUGUUAACUCUGUGACACACAGUCCCCUAAGUAUGGGUUCUCAAUCAUCGAGAUU
Molecule: unclassified non-coding RNA, 7087 nt
Filed under: Neodiprion pinetum (white pine sawfly)
Lineage: Eukaryota; Metazoa; Arthropoda; Insecta; Hymenoptera; Diprionidae
Description: protein zyg-11 homolog B-like, transcript variant X4
Source: RNAcentral